RNAcentral lists this transfer RNA (72 nucleotides) under Methanobacteriota archaeon. RNAcentral describes it as "Euryarchaeota archaeon tRNA-Gly". It matches the Rfam family "tRNA". Rfam says of the family: Transfer RNA (tRNA) molecules are approximately 80 nucleotides in length. Their secondary structure includes four short double-helical elements and three loops (D, anti-codon, and T loops). RNAcentral also lists the same sequence under 1 other name. Lineage: Archaea; Methanobacteriati; Methanobacteriota. The record is from RNAcentral.
GCGGACGUGGUCUAGCGGUUAUGACUGUAGGUUCCCAACCUGCAAACCCGGAUUCGAGUUCCGGCGUCCGCA